UGACACCGCCGGGAGCCGGCCAAACGGGCAAGCUCCGAUGCUUCUCUCUCUGUCCCCAACCCAACACUAAUCCAUAACCCAGCAGCUUCAUUUCCUCCUCCAGGUUGCAGGUACAGCUGGGGCAGGGGCUGGAGCACACAGUCUCGUGCAUUCCUGACGUCACCAGGCAUAUGUUACAUACUGGGAAGAGACCAGAAUUGUCAGCAGUUGAGUGGAAGAAGCUGAAGCACUAUAGCAUUUCCUAGUUGCCACUGGUGUUUACUGGCAAACGGACGUCAUUUGCAUUGGAACUUCAAACACGGAGUGUUCUAAUUUAGUGCCUAGGCUACGUUAUAAAAACGACUUCUGUGGCCGAGAGCUCUUUUUGGAGGGAAC
Oncorhynchus nerka (sockeye salmon) is the source of this 375-nucleotide long non-coding RNA. RefSeq lists it as uncharacterized. NCBI's taxonomy places the organism in Eukaryota, Metazoa, Chordata, Actinopteri, Salmoniformes, Salmonidae. The transcript is spliced from 3 exons. The record is from RefSeq and is a predicted model, not a curated record.